GACGAACGCUGCGGCGUGCGUAACACAUGCAAGUCGAACGAGAGAGAGAGAAGCUUGCUUUUCUUACGAUCGAGUGGCAAACGGGUGAGUAACGCGUAAACAACCUGCCCCGCAGAUGGGGACAACAGCUGGAAACGGCUGCUAAUACCGAAUACGGUCCUCUUAGCGCAUGGUAAGAGGAAGAAAGGGUGGCCUCUGGAACAAGCUACCGCUGCGGGAGGGGUUUGCGUCUGAUUAGCUGGUUGGAGGGGUAACGGCCCACCAAGGCGACGAUCAGUAGCCGGUCUGAGAGGAUGAACGGCCACAUUGGAACUGAGACACGGUCCAGACUCCUACGGGAGGCAGCAGUGGGGAAUCUUCCGCAAUGGGCGAAAGCCUGACGGAGCAACGCCGCGUGAGUGAAGACGGCCUUCGGGUUGUAAAGCUCUGUUAUAGGGGACGAACGGCCGGGUAGCGAAGAGGUAGCCGGCAUGACGGUACCGUAAGAGAAAGCCACGGCUAA
Molecule: ribosomal RNA, 502 nt
Filed under: Megasphaera geminata
Lineage: Bacteria; Bacillati; Bacillota; Negativicutes; Veillonellales; Veillonellaceae
Description: bacterial SSU rRNA
Rfam family: Bacterial small subunit ribosomal RNA
Source: RNAcentral